CUUUUGCCUUUUCUCGAGAAAAUUCCAAAGAGAAAAUCUCAUGAUUACAAAUCUGAUCAUGGAGAUGGAGUCAUCAAAGGUUCUUGAAGAUACAGACCAUAAAACUGAUCCGUGAGUACUAAUCCAGCGAUGACCUUCGACGAGGUUCCAUGGAACGCAGCAAGAGCUUCUUCAAGGCCUUGCAUGUUUCCUUUUCUUUAAUCUCUCUCUCUUCGCUGCAUAUUCUUUUGCUUCUGUUUGAUUAGAUUCUUUUUAAAAAGUUAAAAAUCUAUGAACAUGAUUGGUCUGAGUCAGAUCCAUGAUCUCCUUGUAUGCUCUCAAGGCUUUGUGAUCCAAUGAUCUCUAAUAGCUUUGUAAUUUGUUCCAACAAUUGGCUGUUAGUAGCUUGUGAUGCGGACUUUCAUCCUUUACGUUUUUGAUGUAACAGGAGCUGAAGAACUUGAGACCUCAGCUCUACUCUGCUGCUGAUUACUUUGAGAAGUCUUAUCUCCACAGCGAACAAAAGCAAAUGGUGUUGGACAAUUUAAAGGACUAUAAUGUAAAGGCUCUUGUUAAUGUUGUUGAUCACUUGGGUACUGUUGCUUCCAAGCUUACUAAUCUCCUUGAUCAGCAGAGUUCUGACAUUUCAACUAUGGAGCUGAGGGCUUCUUGUGUUAGUCAGAAACUCCUUACUUGCCGGACUUUGUUAGUCCUCUCAGACGAUCUGAAUCAAGACAGAAUCAUUGCAAUGCGCCAGAAGGUUGUUCCAGAGCAUCCAGAGACACAUUUACUUGAAGGGACCAAUGGACAAGGUCACCUCUGUUGCCAUUCCUCUUGCCUUGGCUGCAUCUUCUCUCUACAUGAUUGUAAGUUUGUAUCUGUUCCAUUUUCUUGUUUGUUUUUUUCAGAAUUGUGUAUUCAUGCUUUUCUAUGUUUUUUUAGAAUCUGUUAUGUUCUUCACUGAAUAAUUUUGAUUGAAGCUUAUAUUUGUUGUUAUUCAUCUUGCCUUGAUUGCUGUUACUGAGUUCUUUAAUAAUCUGUUAGACUGCUACUAAGCUUUUUAAGACCUUACUUUUUUUCACUCAACAAAACUAUUGUUCUAAGUUAGGUCUCAAAUUACGGACCAAUUGCUCAUGUGUUUUGCAUAUCUAUAAACAUCUAUAUGCUGGUAUCCAAUCUUCAUGAACCAUAUACAUGUUUGGACAAUUUUUUUUUUUUUAAGAAACUCUAAAUAAGAGAUUCCCAUUAGAGCAUAAAAUCAAAGUAUUUCUUAGCUAAGAUUCUUAAUUACAUUUAAUUAAUAAAAUAAUCACAAUUACAUUUAAUUAAUAAAAUAAUCACUAGUGAGGUUGUGGGUUAAUCAUGCCCUAACGUAGGCCUCUUGAUGCCAAGCGUCGUUUCUUUGGGUAAACAAUUUCUUCUCCCUCUUCCUUGCCCCGUCGCGUCGAGACGAAGAACCCCGCUUUCUCUGAGGUUUCCUAAUCGGAGAUGGAGAUCGAUUCCAUCGCAGCUGGAGGAGCUCUUAAACCAGAUGGAGAUCGAUUUCGUUGAGACGAAGAACCCUGCUUUUGAUAGGUGUGGGCGAUUACAGAUGCAAAGAGGCAAAGUUUAAUCCCCUCCGCCCUUAAACCAGGAGGAGCUCUCCAGUUUAUCCCCGGCGCCGUCCGCUUCAUUUGCUCUGUCUCUCCAUCAAACCAUCACUUGCUCUGUCUCUCCAUCAAACGAUGAACCAUCCUCCGAGGUGAAGAAGAAGACGUUGGUGAGGAGGAAUGACGUGAGGAAUAUAGCAAUUGUAGCUCAUGUUGAUCAUGGCAAAACUACUUUGGUUGAUUCUAUGCUUAGGCAAGCUAAGGCAAGGAGCAAAGUUAGUGUUGGAGCUAGGGCCUUGCAAAGACUGUGAGAGGUAUCAGUACAAGAGCUUCGAGCUCAACAUCGUCUUUUCGCAGGUGUGUUUAGCUGGCGUAUCUCUUCUUUGCGUUUCUCAUAACUUGAGAAAGCAUGGGAUUUGAAAGUUUCUCUUCGUUGAUCAGCUCAGUGGUCGUAUGGGACGGCUCAAGGCUCAGUAUAUUCAGCAAAUCUCGAACUCUGUGAGAUAAGCACAUACGUUUGCGUCAUUACCUCUCUAAGAUAAGCUACAGGUUCCGCAUCUUUCUGCUUCUACAGUUUCUGGUCGUCACUGUUAGCCAGUUUACCACGCUUUUCCAGACCACUGCGUAUACCGGACAUAUCACGUAUAUAAACAGUGGUGAUUUCGCGGUGAGUCGAGCUUUAGUUUCUUCUUUGGUUUCUUGUUAUACGGUGAUGUUAAAAGCUUGGGAUUGUUUCAAUUCUCUGCGGUGGUCCAAGUUGUUGGGAUUAUUUUAUGUCUGCAAGCAGUAACGAAAAUAUCUCAUAGAGCUCAAGCGAUAGCAUCAGUUGCAAGUAAAUGGCAUGCGAUAAUGUUGUGCUCAUCUACAGAUACAACUCAGAUAAGGACUUCUCCUAGUGGAGUUCACUUGGAAGCCACCACGAAUCCACCCAUCUCCUUUCAGAAUUAGGUACACCAUUGCUGAAUAACACCAUCUUUGAUCACUUAUUUGGGAAAAUAUUUUUGCCUGCUUUGGUGUUUUUGCAUAUGUAUACAAAUGUUUUUAUUACAUUCUUUCUUAUCAUCUGAACUUCAUGUUUUUUUUGUUGUGUUUCUACUUGUAUUUUAAAUCUAUGUUUAAAAUGUUAUGUUUAAAAGUUUAAUAAAUAAAUUUAAAGUUUAAUAAAAUAAUGUUUAAUA
Molecule: long non-coding RNA, 2746 nt
Organism: Brassica napus (rape)
Lineage: Eukaryota; Viridiplantae; Streptophyta; Magnoliopsida; Brassicales; Brassicaceae
Exons: 6
Source: RefSeq, a predicted model, not a curated record